CAACAACGGAUCUCUUGGUUCUGGCAUCGAUGAAGAACGCAGCGAAAUGCGAUAAGUAAUGUGAAUUGCAGAAUUCAGUGAAUCAUCGAAUCUUUGAACGCACAUUGCGCCCCUCGGUAUUCCGGGGGGCAUGCCUGUUCGAGCGUCAUUACACCCCU
This 158-nucleotide ribosomal RNA is filed under the name Lecanora physciella. RNAcentral describes it as "5.8S ribosomal RNA". It matches the Rfam family "5.8S ribosomal RNA". Rfam says of the family: 5.8S ribosomal RNA (5.8S rRNA) is a component of the large subunit of the eukaryotic ribosome. It is transcribed by RNA polymerase I as part of the 45S precursor that also contains 18S and 28S rRNA. Functionally, it is thought that 5.8S rRNA may be involved in ribosome translocation. The record is from RNAcentral. Lineage: Eukaryota; Fungi; Ascomycota; Lecanoromycetes; Lecanorales; Lecanoraceae.